GCAGACGAGCCGCGUGGAGGAUGAAGGGCUUCGGCUUGUAAACUCCUGUCACCGACGAACAAGGCAUCCGGUUGAACAUUCCGGGUGAUUGAUGGUAGUCGGAGAGGAAGGGGCGGCUAACUCUGUGCCAGCAGCCGCGGUGAUACAGAGGCCCCGAGCGUUGUUCGGAUUUACUGGGCGUAAAGGGUGUGUAGGGGGUCGGGUAAGUUUGACGUGAAAGCCCGCUGCUUAACAGCGGAACGGCGUCGAAUACUGCCCGGCUGGAGGUUCGGAGAUGAGAGCGGAAUUCUCGGUGUAGCGGUGAAAUGCGUAGAUAUCGAGAGGAACGCCGACGGCGAAAGCAGCUCUCAAGACGACACCUGACCCUGAGACACGAAGGCCAGGGGAGCAAACGGGAUUAGAUACCCCGGUAGUCCUGGCAGUAAACGGUGCUCAUUAGACGUGGGCGGAUUCGACCCCGCCCGUGUCGAACCUAACGGAUUAAAUGAGCCGCCUGGGAAGUACGGUCGCAAGAUUAAAACUCAAAGAAAUUGACGGGGGCCCGCACAAGCGGUGGAGUAUGUGGCUUAAUUCGAUGCAACGCGAAGAACCUUACCUGGCCUUGACAUGCUGAGUUCAGGCGUGGAAACACGCUGGCCCGCAAGGGCGAUCUGCACAGGUGCUGCAUGGCUGUCGUCAGCUCGUGUCGUGAGAUGUUUGGGUUAAGUCCCGCAACGAGCGCAACCCUCGUGACUAGUUAAUCCCGGGCAACCGGAUUCUGG
Molecule: ribosomal RNA, 761 nt
Filed under: uncultured bacterium
Lineage: Bacteria
Description: bacterial SSU rRNA
Rfam family: Bacterial small subunit ribosomal RNA
Source: RNAcentral